This is a long non-coding RNA of Rhagoletis zephyria (snowberry fruit fly), 565 nucleotides long. RefSeq lists it as uncharacterized. The record is from RefSeq and is a predicted model, not a curated record. Lineage: Eukaryota; Metazoa; Arthropoda; Insecta; Diptera; Tephritidae.
UGAAAGAAACGCAAUAUAUAUGAUAUCACCCUCAAAGCCCUCGGUAAACUAGAAAACCGGUCAAGAAUGUCAUUGAUGUUGUCUGUCGAUGUUGUUGCAUGAACGUGCAUCCUUUUUUCAUCAAUGCUCGUGGUGAAGUCUGUCUCUUGUGUUGGCCAUUUUUCCCUAUUUUCUUGUAGCCAAGAAGGUCGCAAAAUCCAAACCACUGGUGUUUUGAGAACAAAAAUGGAAAACAGAAAUGGCUAACUCCAGGUGAAUAAAUAUAUGAAUGUGCAGCACAGGGCAUGGAUUAACGCAUCGAAGGAAAAAUAAUGUGGCAAAUGUAGCCAGGAUGGCCGGCAAUAUGCGCUAUCCACAAUGCCCAGUGGAACGUGACUGCUUCUGGAGCAGAUCCAGCCACCAUGCGACCCAAGAAAAACAGAUCGGCCGAGACGAAAGGAAAACGGGAAGAUGACUCGCUUCACUAAUGUACGCAAACAAGCUGAGGCAAAUAAUUACCCGCUGACGUGCAGAUCAUGCAGCAAAAAGCAUCAAUUAAGAGUAUGCCCAAUAUUUCGUGCUAAAA